UAUUCGAGCGAAGAGGAAAGCCACGAUGAAGAAGUUUGCUCCUGUUGGCUUCCUGUUGCUUCUGAUCACCUUCUGUCAUGGGAGGUUCCUUAACUCCCUGCACACAGAAGCGAGUCAUUGGCGUAAAUUGCCUUGCCCGAACCCCGAAGACAUCUUGCCUUGCACAUGCACUGCGGACCAAGAUAAUCGAAUGGACUUGGAUUGUUCGCUAGUGGCGAGCGAGGAAGAACUGGAGAGGGUGUUCUCGGCGACCUUUCCCUUCAGUACGUUCCGAAACUUCACCCUCGUUGAUAACGCUUAUCUGAAGACCUUGACGGACCAAUCCCUCGGCAUCGCCUCCUUCACGGGCGUGUACAUCAUGAACAGCGUGCUGGAGGGGGUGGAAUCCAACGCCCUGCUGAACAGCUUCGGCACAGCUCAGGUGAUCAACAUGCAGAAUAACUUAUUGUCUUCGUUUCCCUUCGAAACCCUGUCCUCUUUCAGCAGCCUCGUGGAGCUCGACCUCAGUGACAACAAGCUUGCUUUUCCUGCCCUCGGGUCCGAGUCGCUGCUCAUACUCGACCUGUCCAACAACCUGGUCGACAGCGUCUCCGCCACGGCCUUCUCGGAUACGCCGGAGAUCUCGGAAAUUAAUCUCGGAGGAAACCAAAUAAGUCACAUUCCUACAGGCACCUUCGCGGGGCACCAUAACUUGUACCACGUGAACCUAGAAUCGAACGCGCUGACCUACCUUCCCGAGGGCGCCAUACAGCUGACCUCCAGCAGUUCGGGGACGGUCAUUCUGCGGAGUAACCAGAUCGCAGAUGUUGCUGUUAAUUGCAUAACAGAUGUGUCCGGCGGCAACGUGGACGUCAGCAACAAUUCUUUGAAGGCUUUGAAGGAGGACGUUUUCCGACCUAUUCUGGAUGAAGAAGCGGCUCUCGACAUCAAAAACAACCCGUUGACCUGCGGCUGCGACAUCGCGUGGCUGAUCCGCGACUCCUCCCUGCUGAAGCUGGUGGCGGAGGGCGCCGCCUGCUUCGACGGGGAGCUGCUCGCCGACCUCGACCCCGGGAUGUUCGACGACCUGGGAUGCCCCUAGGGGUGGGGAUUCGCUGCUUCGGCUGCCGUCUGUGUCCAGGGGCGUGUCUUAGGGCGUGUCCGAAGAGGGAGAAGGUAAUCUUCCUCGACUGGAGUUCGCAGGCCAGCGUCUCCCUCGCCACGGCGCCGAUCUUCCUCUCCGCUCUUAUAGCUUUCAGUUUCGCUAUCUGUUCGAUUGUAUAGGUUGGUUUCGUGUGUGACUGUGUAAAGCAAAAUAUGACAAUGUAAGAUAACUAUUACCACUAACUGCAAUGAUAAUAUGCUACAUAUUAUUAUCCUAGCAGUUAGUUGUUAAUUAACAAACAAAAUAAAACAUGAUACCCGGUAAACAGUUUCAACAAAAAAUACAUAUAUUUUUUAAACCUU
Molecule: RNA transcript, 1446 nt
Organism: Penaeus chinensis
Lineage: Eukaryota; Metazoa; Arthropoda; Malacostraca; Decapoda; Penaeidae
Gene name: oplophorus-luciferin 2-monooxygenase non-catalytic subunit-like
Exons: 5
Source: RefSeq, a predicted model, not a curated record